This 1515-nucleotide long non-coding RNA is filed under the name Sorghum bicolor (sorghum). Its description in RNAcentral is "long non-coding RNA (SBIC_LNC010900)". The record is from RNAcentral. Lineage: Eukaryota; Viridiplantae; Streptophyta; Magnoliopsida; Poales; Poaceae.
UCCUUCGAUCUGCAAGUGAAUCCCGAAGGCCAGGAGGGCAGCCAAGAGGUGGAGGUCCAGCAAGUCGGACCCGAGGAGCCAGAAGAAGUUGAGUGUCCAAGUCACGAGCCAGCUUCGUUCGUGAAAGGCAAGCCCCGGAGCAUUCUAAGUCUCCCUUUACUUUUGAAAGUUUAUUUAAUAUGUUAUAUCUAUUGCUGCAUUAAGUAUAGGAGUUGUAAUGAAACCUUUGCUGCAUUUUACUCAAUCCGUGUCCAGAUAUCUUACCACUACCUGGUUAUAGAGUUAGGAUCGAGUAGCAGCUUAGCCAUGCUUUAAUCGGUAGAAGUCGGGUGAUACCCUGUCACCUGCGCGAUAUAGGGUUAUGUCGGAUCACGAUGGUCUAUAUGUGCUAUCGUGGAUGGAACCUGAUUAAUUUGACUUAAGCCGGGCGGAGUUUUGCAAGUUUGUAGUAACUCCGUCUGUGGCAGCUAAGGACCGAUCGUUGUACGUCCUCUUGUCAUGUUGAACGCAUGCCUAACACUUAGUUGGCCGGAUAACUCGUUCCGACCGCGAAGCCGAGUAGUAUGACUCAGGCCGGAAGAUCGGCAAGUAUAAAGUGCGCACUACCGGAGGAAGUGCGGCGUGCGGGGGACCAUUGGCGUAAGCCCAAAGGCAGGUGAGUUAAAAUUCCUGACCUCCCUGGCAGAGUGGUAGCCCUGGGAGUGCGGCGCUGAUCGGAGCCGCGAUUCAUGAGUUGUACCAAAGGUGACCCGUUGGCUCUCCGACGGGGGAUGCUUGGGUGAGUGCUAGGAAUAACCCUCCAGCUGGAUAGGAAUUCGAUUCGAAUCGCCGUCUCUUCCGGUCAGUGAGAACUUGACAGAGCAGCGGCAAACGUAGCAUUCACUAAUGAACUUGGUUCAUGAGAAUGAUGAUAGCAAGAAGAACAGAUGAUGAACCUGAUAUGGUUAUUAUUGCUUGUAAUAAUCAAGUGAUGUGUUCUAGUACAGGUGCUAAUCUAGUGGUAGGCUGAUGAUAAAUAAAUAUGAUGCUCUUAUAUUUUGUUAGUCUUAAUAAAGGCUUUUGGCAAAAAUGUCGAGUCAGCCAGCUCUACUUUUAUAUCUUAGCCUUGCAUGAUCCUUGGUGUCUUUUAUAUUUUACUAGACGGGUAAGUCUAGCUGAGUACAUCCUCGUACUCAGGGUUUAUUCCCACCUGUUGCAGAUGACAUCUUCUAUGACGGUUUCUGCAAGACCUGUCUCCAUCCCGCUGGGGAUGAGGACUAACCGUUGGGCACGGUUCUCUAACAACCUCGUAUCUGAUGCUUUUGGAAGGAUGGUGUAGACUCUGGCAAUAACCAAAAACUUGUGAACUGAACUUUGAACUUUGAACAAGUGUGUGUAAUUAUUUUGCUUCCGCUACUUCGAACUUGUGUUGUAAUAACUUAAUAACUCCGAUGUGGUGCCGCUUCGACGGCAAUGAAUGACUAUGUAACAUUCGCUGUGUUUAUGUUGAAUUAUUACGAUCUUGGUUUGUUGCGA